Molecule: ribosomal RNA, 301 nt
Filed under: uncultured bacterium
Lineage: Bacteria
Description: partial 16S ribosomal RNA
Rfam family: Bacterial small subunit ribosomal RNA
Source: RNAcentral
CAGCAGCCACGGGAACACGAAGGGGGCUAGCGUUGUUCGGAUUUACUGGGCGUAAAGCGCACGUAGGCGGAUCGAUCAGUCAGGGGUGAAAUCCCAGAGCUCAACUCUGGAACUGCCUUUGAUACUGUCGAUCUGGAGUAUGGAAGAGGUGAGUGGAAUUCCGAGUGUAGAGGUGAAAUUCGUAGAUAUUCGGAGGAACACCAGUGGCGAAGGCGGCUCACUGGUCCAUUACUGACGCUGAGGCACGAAAGCGUGGGGAGCAAACAGGAUUAGAUACCCCUGUAGUCCCUGUCUCUUAUAC